RNAcentral lists this long non-coding RNA (629 nucleotides) under Ursus americanus (American black bear). RNAcentral's name for it is "lncRNA (ENSUAMG00000006797.1)". The record is from RNAcentral. Lineage: Eukaryota; Metazoa; Chordata; Mammalia; Carnivora; Ursidae.
UACAGGAAAGAAGGCUUAUCAGAGUUUCUUCCUAAACCUCUUGAAAAUAACAGAAUAUUUUAAUCAGAGACUUCCCCUGGGCCACGGGCCACGAUGGAUGUGGAUGUGCACCUCGAUACUCCUGAGGGUCAGGAGAGCGCAAGCAACAGUGGCAAGGGAAGCAGCGGCACAGGAAACCAGCAAGAAUCUUGCACUGAAUGAAGGAUGCUCAAUAACAGUUGGCUGAGUGAAGGCUGAGUCUCUGUUCAACAAAUAUUUGGUGAGAUGUAAUAGAAGGAGCAACGUAUGAGGUGUCAGAUGAAAUGGGUUCUGGUCUUGCCUCUGCCACUUGCUAGCUCCAUUGCUUAGCCAAAUCAUUUCAUUUUUAUGAUCCUCAGUUUUCUCACCUUUAAAAUGAAGAUACUACUGACCACCCCACAGUACAGAAUCACACGCAUUGAAUCUCACUAAAGUGAUUUAAAAUGGUGUGUACUCAACACAUGUUUAUGCCUUUUCUCACAUAAUGAAAAUCUUCAUCAUAGGAAAUUUAGAGAAAACAAAGUUCAAAGAAAAGAAUAGAAAUCAUGUAUAAUAACACCACUCAAAAGAACUGUUAAAAUUUUGGGUAUUUCCCUUACUGUGUUUUUCUG